RNAcentral lists this ribosomal RNA (494 nucleotides) under uncultured bacterium. Its description in RNAcentral is "partial 16S ribosomal RNA". It matches the Rfam family "Bacterial small subunit ribosomal RNA", at positions 28 to 507 of the family's 1533-position model. The record is from RNAcentral.
GACGAACGCUGGCGGCGCGCUUAACACAUGCAAGUCGAACGGAAAGGCCUGCUUUCCCUUGUGGUUUGCGGGUACGCGAGUGGCGAACGGGUGAGUAACACGUGAGUGAUCUGCACCCAACUUGGGUAGAAGCCCGGGAAACUGGGUCUAAUUCCCGAUAGGACUGCAGGGUGGUGACGGGGGUGGUAAAUGAGCUUCUAGUGGUUGGGGGUGAGCUGGCGGACUAUCAGCUUGUUGGUGGGGUAAUGGCCUACCACGGCGGGGACGGGUAGCCGGGCUGGGAGGGUGGACGGCGACAUUGGGACUGGGAUACGGCCCAGACUCCUACGGGAGGCAGCAGUGCGGAAUAUUGGGCCAUGGGCGGAAGCCUGCUGCAGCGACGCCGCGUGGGAGAUGUCGGCCUUCGGGUGGUAAACUCCUUUCGAACGCGAGAAAGCCACCUGGUUGGAAGGGUGGUGACGGUAGUGGUAGAAGAAGCACCGGCUAACUACGUG